AACGAACGCUGGCGGCAGGCUUAACACAUGCAAGUCGAGCGCCCCGCAAGGGGAGCGGCAGCCGGGUGAGUAACGCGUGGGAACGUACCUUUUGGUUCGGAACAACUCCGGGAAACUGGAGCUAAUACCGGAUAAGCCCUAACGGGGAAAGAUUUAUCGCCGAAAGAUCGGCCCGCGUCUGAUUAGCUAGUUGGUGAGGUAACGGCUCACCAAGGCGACGAUCAGUAGCUGGUCUGAGAGGAUGAUCAGCCACACUGGGACUGAGACACGGCCCAGACUCCUACGGGAGGCAGCAGUGGGGAAUAGUGGACAAUGGGCGCAAGCCUGAUCCAGCCAUGCCGCGUGAGUGAUGAAGGCCUUAGGGUUGUAAAGCUCUUUUGUCCGGGAAGAUAAUGACUGUACCGGAAGAAUAAGCCCCAGCUAACUUCGUG
RNAcentral lists this ribosomal RNA (431 nucleotides) under uncultured bacterium. Its description in RNAcentral is "partial 16S ribosomal RNA". It matches the Rfam family "Bacterial small subunit ribosomal RNA", at positions 29 to 507 of the family's 1533-position model. The record is from RNAcentral.